Molecule: small nucleolar RNA, 132 nt
Filed under: Xiphophorus couchianus (Monterrey platyfish)
Lineage: Eukaryota; Metazoa; Chordata; Actinopteri; Cyprinodontiformes; Poeciliidae
Description: Small nucleolar RNA SNORA27 (ENSXCOG00000010009.1)
Source: RNAcentral
ACCCCCAUCUUCACUUUGCCACCUGGAUUCUCUCUGUCCUCAGUGGUCAUUCAUGUGGGGGAGAAUAGCUCAUCCUCAGGCACCCCGGUCUAAGCUGGUCUUUGGGCUUUGGGUUGUUUUGAGGAGACAUCA